CAAGUAUUAACCCAAUAGCAUUACUUUGACAUAGAAAUGGAAACAAUCAUGUGGAAAUCUUAUAUUUCAUUGAGAACAUGAAUACACAUGACAAUGUGAACUAUCAACCUCAAGAACAAGCCCUCGCAUUAUCCUGCUAAUAUUCAUCAGAAAAAUUCAAAAUCUAAAUAGGGACCUGAUGAUCGAUUUGAGUCUGUAGCUCCCUUGUCAUUUGGAGCCAAGGAUGACUUUAAUGUGUGAUUCAAAAAGGAAAGAUCAACAGGCUUUGGAAUAUCAGGAGGAUGAGUACUGCGAAUGAGUGCCCAAUUAACACUUUCAAAAAAAGGGUGUUGUUUGAUCUCUGUUGCACCUCUUUUGAACCCCAAUCUCUUUUGCGGGUCCUUUACAAGCAGACCACGGAUUAAAUCCUUAGCAGCAUAACUCACAGAGGAUCCCUCAGGAAAUUUUAGGGGCUGACCUACCACAUUGAAUAGCGUCUCUCUGUUUCCAGUCCCUUUGAAUGGCGUCCUACCAAGUAGUAACUCAUACAAGAAGAUACCAAAUGUCCACCAAUCAACAGCACUCCCAUGCCCAUCCCCUCUUAUUAUCUCAGGAGCUAAAUACUCAUGGGUACCUACGAAUGACAUUGAGCGGGCAGUAGUUGGUUCUGCAAUAAGUACAGGAAGUGAAUCUGAACUCGCCAAAUUUGGCCUUUCACUUUUCACUUUUGUUGUUUUGAAGUUGAAGAAAUGAGGUUUAAAGCAAGAUGGUUGCAAGCAUGAAGGCUCUACACAAACAGGUAAUUUGCAGGCUGGUUCAAUGCAUGAUGGCUGGAUACAGUAUGAAGAGAUCUUACAAGAUGGCUCGGUACUAGAUUGAACAAGAGUAGGACUCACAUAGCAUCUUAAUGACAAAUCAAAAUCUGAAAGCAUAAUAUGCCCAUCCUCCCUAACCAAUACAUUUUCAGGCUUCAAGUCUCUAUACACAACACCCAUCAUGUGUAAAUAUUCGAGAGCAAGAAGCACUUCUGAAGCAUAAAACCUGAAAAAGCAGAGAGAAUUAUUGGAAAACAAUAAUUCUAACUUUGUCCAUCAAACUACUAGCUAAAAAUAGCAGGAAAAAACAAAAUGAAUGAAGCAUGAUGGAUUAACAUGAAUUGAGUAGAUAAUAAAUUACAACUGUUCAAUAUCCAUGACAGUAAAUUACUCUAGCAAGAAGUUAUCUGCAAGCAUUAAUAUGAUUGUUCGAGAGAAACCCAAGAUUUAUUAUUACUUUGCUGAUAUUUAAGGAGCUACAUUUGAAUGCUCCAGCAGGGCAUUUACGCAGAUGCCUCUCUGUAUAAUCUAUACCAAUGACUGCAAAUAUUAUAAAUAAAUUUGUAAGUUGAUAGGCUUAUCUUGUACCAACAGACCAGGGCCAGUCAUUAUGAUCUAGUACAAUAUCGAACUAAUUUUCCAUACAUUAGCUCUACCCUCUACCUAUCUUCUCAUACUUCAGUAAUUCACAUCUGCCAGCCACAGACUAGCAACGAAAUGCAUUAGUCAAAGAAGCCAUAUGAUUUCUUUCUAUUAUUAAUUACCACCUUUCUUUUAAUCUCCUUCAAUCAGCAUAUUACAUUAAUAGUCAAGAAACCAUUAAAACUAAAAUGAUACAUAACUAAUCUCAUAAUUAGCACUAACCUUGCAGCCUGUUCUGUGAAAUGCUUGCCUGGUUGUCGUUGCCUCAGCGUGUGAAGAUCCCCACCGCUGCAAAACUCCAUCAACAAGCAAGAAAACUUAUCAGUCUCAAAAUGGGAAUAGAGGGUUGGCAAAAAUGGAUGAUCUAACAAACCCAUAAUCUCUCUCUCAGUUUGAGCUCUCAACAGCUUCUUUCUCCCCUCUAACAUCCCUUUAUCCAUCACCUUCAUUGCAAACAAACAGCCCAUCCCUCUCAACUCAGCCAGAUACACACUCCCUAUAUCUCCACACCCAAGUUUCUUCAAUAACCUAAAAUGACCUAAGCCCAACCCCAAAAUCCCAUCUUUAGCUUUAACAUGCUGUAUUGCAUCCCAUCUAAUGUCAUUUCUCUUGUGGGGUUUUGAAGGGCAAAAGGUCCUAGAACUAGCCUCAUUUGGAUCCAAACACAGACCACUCUUUUCACACUCUUUAGCUUCACUAGCAUCAUUACUCACACUGCUUAUAUUGCUGCUAAUACUAUCAGACCCAGAAAUGGUGCUACUGCACAAGCUGAUACUGACACUUUUAGUGAAACUAAGAUCUUGCAAGCUGCUGGUGAAAGAUUCAAUGUCGCUAUUCUCAAUCUUUUGUGGUUGUUUGCUCAUGGUUGAGGGAAUUUGGAGAAAUUGUUUGAUGAAAGGUAUGAGAGAAGGGGUUGGUUGGUUAAAAAUGGAAGUGAUAGUCAAAUUGGAGCUAGACUGCUGGGGGAGUGACCGAGGUGGUCAAAGAGAGCGAGAGUAAGACGCGGGCAUAACGAAGAGAGGGUUAAAACGGCAUUCAAAUUUGAAAAUUAGAUGAGAGACCCAAUGAGAGUAAAUUGGGGUUUGAGUCUCUCUCACUCUCUCUCUUCUUCUUGUUUUGUCCGUAAGCUGUAAUAUUUCUUGGUUAUAGCAUAAGGAAGGGAGAGAGAGAGAGAGAGAG
RNAcentral lists this unclassified non-coding RNA (2615 nucleotides) under Hevea brasiliensis (rubber tree). Lineage: Eukaryota; Viridiplantae; Streptophyta; Magnoliopsida; Malpighiales; Euphorbiaceae. The record is from RNAcentral.